AGGGCGCACGGUGGAUGCCUUGGCACUAGAAGCCGACGAAGGACGUUACUAACGACGAUAUGCUUUGGGGAGCUGUAAGUAAGCUUUGAUCCAGAGAUUUCCGAAUGGGGAAACCCAGCACGAGUUAUGUCGUGUUAUCGAUAUGUGAAUACAUAGCAUAUCUGAAGGCAGACGCGGAGAACUGAAACAUCUUAGUACCCGCAGGAAGAGAAAGAAAAAUCGAUUCCCUGAGUAGCGGCGAGCGAAACGGGAAGAGCCCAAACCAACGAGCUUGCUUGUUGGGGUUGUAGGACACUCUAUACGGAGUUACAAAAGAACAGACUAGACGAAUCAUCUGGAAAGAUGAAUCAAAGAAGGUAAUAAUCCUGUAGUCGAAAGUUUGUUCACUCUUGAGUGGAUCCUGAGUACGACGGAACACGAGAAAUUCCGUCGGAAUCUGGGAGGACCAUCUCCCAAGGCUAAAUACUCUCUAGUGACCGAUAGUGAACCAGUACCGUGAGGGAAAGGUGAAAAGUACCCCGGAAGGGGAGUGAAAUAGAACUUGAAACCGUGUGCUUACAAGUAGUCAGAGCCCGUUAAUGGGUGAUGGCGUGCCUUUUGUAGAAUGAACCGGCGAGUUACGAUUUGAUGCAAGGUUAAGCAGUGAAUGUGGAGCCGUAGCGAAAGCGAGUCUGAAUAGGGCGUUGAGUAUUUGGUCGUAGACCCGAAACCAGGUGAUCUACCCAUGACCAGGUUGAAGUUCAGGUAACACUGAAUGGAGGACCGAACCGACUUACGUUGAAAAGUGAGCGGAUGAGUUGUGGGUAGCGGAGAAAUUCCAAUCGAACCUGGAGAUAGCUGGUUCUCUCCGAAAUAGCUUUAGGGCUAGCCUCAAGUGAUGAUUAUUGGAGGUAGAGCACUGUUUGGACGAGGGGCCCUUAUCGGGUUACCGAAUUCAGACAAACUCCGAAUGCCAAUCAAUUUAACUUGGGAGUCAGAACGCGGGUGAUAAGGUCCGUGUUCGAAAGGGAAACAGCCCAGACCACCAGCUAAGGUCCCAAAAUAUAUGUUAAGUGGAAAAGGAUGUGGCGUUGCCCAGACAACUAGGAUGUUGGCUUAGAAGCAGCCAUCAUUUAAAGAGUGCGUAAUAGCUCACUAGUCGAGUGACACUGCGCCGAAAAUGUACCGGGGCUAAACAUAUUACCGAAGCUGUGGAUUGUCCGUAAGGACAAUGGUAGGAGAGCGUUCUAAGGGCGUUGAAGCAUGAUCGCAAGGACAUGUGGAGCGCUUAGAAGUGAGAAUGCCGGUGUGAGUAGCGAAAGACGGGUGAGAAUCCCGUCCACCGAUUGACUAAGGUUUCCAGAGGAAGGCUCGUCCGCUCUGGGUUAGUCGGGUCCUAAGCUGAGGCCGAUAGGCGUAGGCGAUGGAUAACAGGUUGAUAUUCCUGUACCACCAUUAUUCGUUUUAAGCGAUGGGGGGACGCAGUAGGAUAGGCGAAGCGUACGAUUGGAUUGUACGUCCAAGCAGUGAGAUUGAGUGUUAGGCAAAUCCGGCACUCUUAAGAUUGAGCUGUGAUGGGGAGAGGAAAUUGUUUCCUCGAGUCGUUGAUUUCACACUGCCAAGAAAAGCCUCUAGCUAGAAUUGUGGUGCCCGUACCGCAAACCGACACAGGUAGUCAAGAUGAGAAUUCUAAGGUGAGCGAGCGAACUCUCGUUAAGGAACUCGGCAAAAUGACCCCGUAACUUCGGGAGAAGGGGUGCUCUUUAGGGUUAACGCCCAGGAGAGCCGCAGUGAAUAGGCCCAAGCGACUGUUUAUCAAAAACACAGGUCUCUGCUAAACCGUAAGGUGAUGUAUAGGGGCUGACGCCUGCCCGGUGCUGGAAGGUUAAGAGGAGUGGUUAGCUUCUGCGAAGCUACGAAUCGAAGCCCCAGUAAACGGCGGCCGUAACUAUAACGGUCCUAAGGUAGCGAAAUUCCUUGUCGGGUAAGUUCCGACCCGCACGAAAGGCGUAACGAUUUGGGCACUGUCUCAACGAGAGACUCGGUGAAAUCAUAGUACCUGUGAAGAUGCAGGUUACCCGCGACAGGACGGAAAGACCCCGUGGAGCUUUACUGUAGUCUGAUAUUGAAAUUCGGCACAGCUUGUACAGGAUAGGUAGGAGCCUGAGAUACGUGAGCGCUAGCUUACGUGGAGGCGUUGGUGGGAUACUACCCUCGCUGUGUUGGAUUUCUAACCCGCACCAUUUAUCAUGGUGGGAGACAGUGUCAGAUGGGCAGUUUGACUGGGGCGGUCGCCUCCUAAAGAGUAACGGAGGCGCUCAAAGGUUUCCUCAGAAUGGUUGGAAAUCAUUCAUAGAGUGUAAAGGCAUAAGGAAGCUUGACUGCGAGACUUACAAGUCGAGCAGGGUCGAAAGACGGACUUAGUGAUCCGGUGGUUCCGCAUGGAAGGGCCAUCGCUCAACGGAUAAAAGCUACCCCGGGGAUAACAGGCUUAUCUCCCCCAAGAGUUCACAUCGACGGGGAGGUUUGGCACCUCGAUGUCGGCUCAUCGCAUCCUGGGGCUGUAGUCGGUCCCAAGGGUUGGGCUGUUCGCCCAUUAAAGCGGUACGCGAGCUGGGUUCAGAACGUCGUGAGACAGUUCGGUCCCUAUCCGUCGUGGGCGUAGGAAAUUUGAGAGGAGCUGUCCUUAGUACGAGAGGACCGGGAUGGACAUACCUCUGGUGUACCAGUUGUCGUGCCAACGGCAUCGCUGGGUAGCUAUGUAUGGACGGGAUAAGUGCUGAAAGCAUCUAAGCAUGAAGCCCCCCUCAAGAUGAGAUUUCCCAACUUCGGUUAUAAGAUCCCUCAAAGAUGAUGAGGUUAAUAGGUUCGAGGUGGAAGCAUAGCGAUAUGUGCAGCUGACGAAUACUAAUCGAUCGAAGACUUAAUC
Molecule: ribosomal RNA, 2908 nt
Rfam family: Bacterial large subunit ribosomal RNA